AAAUUUUUGACCUCUUUCUUAAGUUAACCAUUAUAGAUGGCAUGAUAAAAGGCAAAACACCAGAGGAAAUUUCUGAGAUCUUUGGAGCUGCAGAUAACUAAAACUCAAAGUUAUUGGAAGGGAUUAGGGAACAUGUAGUAGAGAGUCUUUAGAUUUUAUUUAAGGUCAAACAAUUUUAUUGACUUUUAUUUAUAAAUAAGAUC
This 203-nucleotide long non-coding RNA is filed under the name Trifolium pratense (red clover). RNAcentral's name for it is "long non-coding RNA (TPRA_LNC001717)". The record is from RNAcentral. Lineage: Eukaryota; Viridiplantae; Streptophyta; Magnoliopsida; Fabales; Fabaceae.